Molecule: ribosomal RNA, 597 nt
Filed under: Chrysosporium sp. OUCMBIII101004
Lineage: Eukaryota; Fungi; Ascomycota; Eurotiomycetes; Onygenales; Onygenaceae
Description: eukaryotic LSU rRNA
Rfam family: 5.8S ribosomal RNA (bases 233-386)
Source: RNAcentral
CCAAGGUCAUCUAUAGAACAGAAGUCUAGGGAGGCCGAAGCCGCGCCGCUCCCCACGGGGGGUGACGGGGCCUGUGCCCCCUCCACACGUGUCUACCACACUCUGUUGCCUUGGCGGGUCUGCCCCUGUGGCUGCUGGGGAUCACCGCUGGUGUCCCGGGUCCGUACCCGCCGAUGGAACCUCUGAACCCUCUGUGAAUCUAGUGUGUCUGAGUGUUUGACAAAUCAAACAAAACUUUCAACAAUGGAUCUCUUGGUUCUGGCAUCGAUGAAGAACGCAGCGAAAUGCGAUAAGUAAUGUGAAUUGCAGAAUUCCGUGAAUCAUCGAAUCUUUGAACGCACAUUGCGCCCUCUGGUAUUCCGGGGGGCAUGCCUGUUCGAGCGUCAUUGCAACCCCUCAAGCGCGGCUUGUGUGUUGGGCCAUCGUCCCCAUGUGGACGGGCCUGAAAUGCAGUGGCAGCACCGAGAUACCGGUGUCUGAGUGUAUGGGCUUCCAUCACCACUCUGUAGACCCGAUCGGUGCUGGUCGUGAACGUCAUCUUCAUCCAGUUUGACCUCGGAUCAGGUAGGAAUACCCGCUGAACUUAAGCAUAUCAAA